UUUCAAUAAGAUAAUGAUGGAUAG
This 24-nucleotide non-coding RNA is filed under the name Arabidopsis thaliana (thale cress). The record is from RNAcentral. Lineage: Eukaryota; Viridiplantae; Streptophyta; Magnoliopsida; Brassicales; Brassicaceae.